Molecule: microRNA precursor, 78 nt
Filed under: Schistosoma margrebowiei
Lineage: Eukaryota; Metazoa; Platyhelminthes; Trematoda; Strigeidida; Schistosomatidae
Description: mir-3492 microRNA precursor family
Rfam family: mir-3492 microRNA precursor family
Source: Rfam by way of RNAcentral
AACCAUUUGUAUCUGUACUGAGAUUUCGUCUCACACCAGACCACAAGGGCUGAUGAGACUUUCAAGAUAAGUGAAGUG